UAUGGAGGAGGAUACCAGGGUGGAAGGGGGUGGGUUCCCCAGUCUCAGCAAGGAGCACGUGGAGGUUAUGGUGGAGGCCGUGGCCGCGGAGUGCCCCAACAGUAUAGUGGACCUCCUGAAUAUCAAAGUAGGGGAAGAGGAGGGCCACCUCAACAAGGAGGAGGUCGUGGAGGAUAUGGUAGUGGCCGUGGAGGCACACCUGGUUCUGGUGGACCCUCCAGACCACCUGCUCCCGAGCUGCACCAAGCAACCAUGCCUGUGUAUCAAGCAGUGGUGACUUCUCAGGUUACUCCAGCAGAUGUGGGUUCUUCUGGUCUGCCUGAUCCUUCUAUAACACAGCAAUUUCAG
RNAcentral lists this long non-coding RNA (348 nucleotides) under Carica papaya (papaya). RNAcentral's name for it is "long non-coding RNA (CPAP_LNC001378)". Lineage: Eukaryota; Viridiplantae; Streptophyta; Magnoliopsida; Brassicales; Caricaceae. The record is from RNAcentral.